UACGGAGGAUUCAAGCGUUAUCCGGAUUUAUUGGGUUUAAAGGGUGCGUAGGCGGUCGGAUAAGUUAGAGGUGAAAUCCCGAGGAUCAACUUCGGAAUUGCCUCUGAUACUGUUCGGCUAGAGAGUAGUUGCGGUAGGCGGAAUGUAUGGUGUAGCGGUGAAAUGCUUAGAGAUCAUACAGAACACCGAUUGCGAAGGCAGCUUACCAAGCUACUUCUGACGUUGAGGCACGAAAGCGUGGGGAGCAAACAGG
This 253-nucleotide ribosomal RNA is filed under the name uncultured bacterium. Its description in RNAcentral is "partial 16S ribosomal RNA". It matches the Rfam family "Bacterial small subunit ribosomal RNA", at positions 524 to 776 of the family's 1533-position model. The record is from RNAcentral.